CUCGUAGUUGGAUUUCUGGUGGCGAGAUACCAUACGCCCGCGCGUUUUUGGUAUCUCUCCACCAUCCUUCUGUUAACCUAGAUGUGCUUUACUGGCUGUUUAGGAGCCCAGAUAUUUUACCUUGAGAAAAUUAGAGUGUUUCGUGCAGGCUUGCGCCCGGAUACAUUAACAUGGAAUAAUGGAAUAAGACUUUUACCUCUUCUGUUGGUCUAAGGGGUCUAAGUAAUGAUUAAUAGGGAUAGUUGGGGGCAUUAGUACUUAACUGUCAAAGGUGAAAUUCUUGGAUUUGUUAAAGACUAACUUAUGCGAAAGCAUUUGCCAAGGAUGUUUUCAUUAAUCAAGAACGAAAGUUAAGGGAUCAAAGACGAUCAAAUACCGUCCUAGUCUUAACCAUAAACUAUGCCGACUCGGGAUCGGGAGCGUGAGUUAUCCGCUUUC
RNAcentral lists this ribosomal RNA (438 nucleotides) under uncultured eukaryote. RNAcentral describes it as "bacterial SSU rRNA". It matches the Rfam family "Eukaryotic small subunit ribosomal RNA", at positions 627 to 1081 of the family's 1831-position model. The record is from RNAcentral.